GUGCUCCUGUCUGAGUUUCUGUGUCCUCAUCUCCUCUUCUUAUAAGGAUACCAGUCAGGUUGAUGAGAACCCACCCAAUGACCUCAUUUCACCUUGAUUGCCUCUUUAAAGACCUGCAACCACAGUUCUGUUCUCAGGGACUGCGGUUAGAGCCUCAUCACGUAUAAUCUGGGAACAUGAGUCAGGCCCCAACGGCUGCACAGCCUGUCUGCAAAGCUGGUUGCUCACGGGCGGCUGGAGGACAGGGCUCAAGGGCUGCUUGCUGGAGGAAGCCCUUGUGUUUUAAUUCAAGGGGGUGAUUUUUAUCCCCACUUUCCAUUCUGGUUCAGUGUUAUCUAGCACAGCAGAACCAAAGAAUUUGCUAAAUAUUGACAGAAAGACGAACAAAUUACUGGCUAUUCAGCUGAAAAGAAAACAUUCACCUUCAUUCCCUAAGGCUGCCUGGCAUGCGCCCAGUAUGUCUCUGAAGCAGCCAAGGCUUCAGCUAAGGACGGACCUGCCUCUGCGAGCCAGGAGCGUCCCCAUGACCCCGGAGCAUCCCCACAACCCUGAGAAGGAAGGGGAUCUUCCCAGGAUUGAACCUGCAUCUCUAGUGUAUCCUGCAGGAACAUAAUCCACCAGCAUGAUCACAGACGAUUUGUUACCACGCCAGGGAUACAUAUUGCUCACAAGACCUAAGAGAUCCACGGACCCCAAACAGACGCCAGCCUAUCGUCCCAGAAGUCAGGGAGCUUGGAUAUGACGACCCCAGGGCGUGACAGUCCUGGCGUGACCACUUCGGGACAAGAAAACACCCCCACCCAGCGUGGAGGAGGAGCUGAUGAGGGGAGCAUGACAUCUACUCAGGAAGGAGGAAAAAGGCGGUCUUCUCCCCUUCCCCACUUCCCUUUGAGUAUAAGACUGUAGCCCACCAAGUUCUCAGGGCAGCACCCUCUCCACCCAUCUGUCUGUAGGCCUCACAAGGGUCCUAUUCUAAUAAGUCACUUCUUUUCUCUCACUUUGCCUCUCGCUGGAUUCUUCCAGCACUGAAACAUAGAGAACCGGAGCUCCCUGGAGUCCGGAGACCCAUUUCAGCGGUUCAUUUUCUCUGUCCUUGCUGGGGCAGAGAAACUGAUCUCCUUUGAUGUUGAGGAGGUAUGUCUCCACUGUCUUUCUCAAUUCCAGUAUUAGAGCAUUCUGAUCCUGUAUGCUUGCUGUCAGCGCCUGUUUUAAUCUUGCAGUAUAUUUAGACUCUUCGCUUUAUUGCUCAUUGUCUUGAGGAAUCAGGUUAGUGGGAGGAGAGGCAUUUAAACCAGAAGCUAAUGUUCUUCAACUUUGAAAAAAACAAAAAAAACUGCAUUUUAAAAGAGUCUUUUUCUCACUCCCACUCUUUCUCUUCUAACGAAAUUCUUUAGAAGACAUUGCAACUCAAGCACUAUUUUUCUUACUUUCUUAUUUUUUCUCUCCCGUUUUUUGGUUUUUACUGUUAUAUUUUCAUUUCUUCUGGUAGGUUUUCUCUACUCUAUCUUCCGAAUUUCCAACUGAGUUUUUUAGUUUCAUUUCUCACAUAUUCUGUUGUACAAAGCUCUUGUUUCCUCUUUGUGCCUUACGGUAUAAUUUUCUUGAAUAAAAUAUCAUCUCUUAUUUCUCUAAGGGUUUUAAGUAUAGUUUUACUGUUUUAGGCUAACGUGUGUAUUAUCAUUUUCUUACUAAAUUUCUUUAUUAUUUUCUUAUUUUGCUCCUUUUUACUUUUUUAAUCAUUGAGUGUAUGACUUGACUUCUGGCAAUUUGCUCUUUAGUCCAUCUCUGCAACUCCAUGGACUGUAGCCCACCAGGCUCCUCUGUCCGUGGGAUUCUCCAAGCAAGAAUAUUGAAAUGGGUUUCCGUUUUCUUCUCCAGGGGAUAUUCCCAACCCAGGGACUGAACCCACAUCUCCUGUGUUGCAGACAGAUUCUUUACCUGCUGAGCCAUCCAGGAAACCCUACUGGUGGUUGUUGGUUGUUAAUUCACAAUUAAGAAUGAAACAUUCCGACUUCUCUGGUGGUCCAGUGGUUAGGACUGUAAGCUUACAGUGUAGCGGGCGUGGGUUCAACCCCUGAUCAGGGAAAUAAGAUCUUACAUAGCCUUUGAUGUGGCCAAAAAAAUAAAAAAAUAUUUAUUUUUAAUAUGUAGCUGAUGCGCAUAUUAAAGCAACUAAAAAGAAAAACAAAACAAGAGACAUUAACAAGUCUCUUGGAACCCCUUCUCAAUGGACAGGACUUAAAGUGGAAUCAGCAGGGAGCUGAGGCCUCUGGUACCUCCCUGGCCUUGAUAUUUCCCUGAAGCUGUUGGGUUUCUUUAGAGAAGGGUCCCCAUGUCCCAGCUGGAGGGGAUGCCAGGCACCAGGCGGAGCUGAAGUGGCACAUUGCCAUCCACCUGUGGAAUUUCUCUCCAUUCUCCUGAUUUCUUCACCCUUUGCCAAGUCCAGUGAGUGUGGGUCCAACGUGGCUCAUGUCCAGCAGGGUGUUUUUCCUCCAUUAGCUUGAAGAACAGAACAAUGCAAAAUGUUCUAUAAAACAAAAAAAGGAAAAAUAAUUAAUUACCCAAGUCCUGACAAUGAUUUAAAAGAGACUAUGUAACAAACAUCUCCAUUUGAAUCAUGUUAAACUGUAAUAUUUCACUUGAACUGAAGACCAGAAUUCAUAAGUUCCUUCCCUUCACCCAGAAAUAAGGACACAGCUCAUUUGUGACAUGAGUGCCAGGCAGCCAUGAUCAUGUGGAUUUGCAGUCCAAUUUCGUCCAUACCAGAAGACCAGAAAGACCGAAGUCUGCAAGCUUAGCCCCUAGUCAGUGCUCAGAUACCCAGAUGCACACUUUAGGAAACAGUUGGUUAUUUCUUUGAAACAUGCACUGUGAACACUAAGUUA
This is a long non-coding RNA of Bubalus bubalis (water buffalo), 2885 nucleotides long. RefSeq lists it as uncharacterized. Lineage: Eukaryota; Metazoa; Chordata; Mammalia; Artiodactyla; Bovidae. The record is from RefSeq and is a predicted model, not a curated record. The transcript has 3 exons.